Molecule: small nuclear RNA, 134 nt
Filed under: Phytopythium vexans DAOM BR484
Lineage: Eukaryota; Oomycota; Peronosporomycetes; Pythiales; Pythiaceae
Description: Pythium vexans DAOM BR484 snRNA EPrPVex00000013113
Rfam family: U4 spliceosomal RNA
About the family: U4 small nuclear RNA (U4 snRNA) is a component of the major U2-dependent spliceosome. The structure of U4 snRNA from yeast and human has been reported. U4 snRNA presents a k-turn RNA motif in the 5p-SL related to recognition of Snu13 protein.
Source: RNAcentral
AUCUUUGCGCUUGGGGCAAAACGAUAGCGUGUGAAGCUCUGCUGAUGCAUCGUGUUUGCGAAUUGAAAACUACUCCAAACCCUGUGCGCAGCUGAGAGAUCAGCGGCGCCAAUUUCUGUAUUCGACCCCUCUUG